Long non-coding RNA from Peromyscus leucopus (white-footed mouse), 1300 nucleotides. RefSeq lists it as uncharacterized. The record is from RefSeq and is a predicted model, not a curated record. The transcript has 3 exons. Lineage: Eukaryota; Metazoa; Chordata; Mammalia; Rodentia; Cricetidae.
GCUAGGAUUAAAGGUGUGCGCCACCACUGCCCAGCUGUCCUGAGACUCUUGAUUAGGAAGGUGAACAUGGGUUCAGGGAAGUCCAUGGCUAGGACUGGCUUGAAGCCAGGAGGUCACCCUCUGUCCUUCCCAACGCAUCUAGCUUGAGGGAAACGCCAGAGCUGGCUUUCAAUGUUUUCAGACGAGCUCAAGAAUAGCAAGGGGACAUUUUGAUGGGGACAUUUGAAAUCCAGCAGCUUUCACACUUUUCACUUUAUGAACACCCUUAGGUGUCUAUCUGCAGAAGCCUCCUGGGUGUCCCCCCUCUUUCUUCCACCUGCCCUUACUCCAUACAGCAGACCAGGCUGCUUUUGAUUGGCUGUCUGCUGUUCACAGCACUUCCUGCUUUUCCCGUCUUCUCGAGCCCAACGACCUCACUGAAGUCCCCUUUAAGAGUCUGCUCCACCCACUGCCAUCUCUCCCAGCCUACAUCCACGUGGCUCUGAUGAUGGGAAGCACCAGCAAGUGGCACCAGCCAGCAGAAGCCACAUGCAUUACCAUUGUCCUUGGCUCUGUGACUCCAGCUAUGAAGAGCAUAUCCUGAGAACAGCAGCCCUUGGAACCCCGUCACCUUUCUCUCCAAGAACAGACCUCACAAGGACACGACCUCCCCGAGCUGAGGGCAUCUGUGCACUCACUCAGGGCUCCCCGAAAGGGCUUGCUGAAUGGGAAAAGCACCAGCCGUGAGGCAGCAGGGGACAGAGAUGACACCAGGCCGACAGUGAAGGAAAUUCUUGGUGUUUCCAAGUAGGCAUUUCCAGGGUACAGACUCUGCAGAGUCACACUGGUGUUGGUCCAGCACCUUCUGAGUACUGUGCGGGUGAAGACAGAUUACAGAGGAGGAAACAGGAGAAAUGAUGUACCCUCCCCUAGACGGCUGAUCACAAACCCAGUCUCCACAUCUUCCUGUCUUCAAACUUGUUCAUGGUGGCUUCUAUCUUCAUGCCUCUCAGGGGAGCAGGACACAACCUUCAAAUACAAGUCUCCAGGGGAGCCAUGGGAAGGCUCAAGGUACGUGUGUGUGUGUGUGUGUGUGUGUGUGUGUGUGUGUGUGUGUGUGUAGGGGGCUCACUUCUGCAUACCCAAGACUGUCCUCCUGCCACAGGAGAAGUUCAGCCUGAUAUGAGACUUCAAUCAAAAUGAUUUAUCUCCCCAAACCCUGAAAAUAUGUCUGUUACUUCAAGAAUUUAUUGUUUGAAUAAAUUGGCAUAUUUAAUGCAAUGCUUUAAAUGUGACAUUUAAACAAACUUAUUAAUCUAAC